This is a non-coding RNA of Macrostomum lignano, 113 nucleotides long. The record is from Rfam. Lineage: Eukaryota; Metazoa; Platyhelminthes; Macrostomidae.
CUGACCAUACGACUUACACGCCACCGUCUCCCGCAGGUAUGCUCGUCGGCGCCCUGUGCGCACUCACUGGCGUGCUGACGAUCGCCCUGCCGGUGCCCGUCAUCGUGUCGAAC